This 497-nucleotide ribosomal RNA is filed under the name uncultured bacterium. RNAcentral's name for it is "partial 16S ribosomal RNA". It matches the Rfam family "Bacterial small subunit ribosomal RNA", at positions 28 to 507 of the family's 1533-position model. The record is from RNAcentral.
GAUGAACGCUGGCGGCGUGCCUAAUACAUGCAAGUCGAGCGAACAGACGAGGAGCUUGCUCCUCUGACGUUAGCGGCGGACGGGUGAGUAACACGUGGAUAACCUACCUAUAAGACUGGGAUAACUUCGGGAAACCGGAGCUAAUACCGGAUAAUAUGUUGAACCGCAUGGUUCAACAGUGAAAGACGGUCUUGCUGUCACUUAUAGAUGGAUCCGCGCUGCAUUAGCUAGUUGGUAAGGUAACGGCUUACCAAGGCAACGAUGCGUAGCCGACCUGAGAGGGUGAUCGGCCACACUGGAACUGAGACACGGUCCAGACUCCUACGGGAGGCAGCAGUAGGGAAUCUUCCGCAAUGGGCGAAAGCCUGACGGAGCAACGCCGCGUGAGUGAUGAAGGUCUUCGGAUCGUAAAACUCUGUUAUUAGGGAAGAACAAAUGUGUAAGUAACUGUGCACGUCUUGACGGUACCUAAUCAGAAAGCCACGGCUAACUACGUG